Nematostella vectensis (starlet sea anemone) is the source of this 364-nucleotide long non-coding RNA. RefSeq lists it as uncharacterized. Lineage: Eukaryota; Metazoa; Cnidaria; Anthozoa; Actiniaria; Edwardsiidae. The transcript is spliced from 2 exons. The record is from RefSeq and is a predicted model, not a curated record.
UGGCCUGCCAGCUUGCAGGAACGAGUAAAAAGAACAAAGUAAAAGAACACGAAAGGCUCCGGCUCCUCGGUGAUUAUCACCACAAUUGCAAUGUCCUGAGCUUAGGCGAAGAACAACUGAUUGUGGUAUGCCUACCUCCCUUGUAAGUCGUGCCUUGGGUUUCACAAGAGGGACGACCUUUGGAGGCACAGAAAGAAGUGUGCGUUUAAACAGCAUGGGACAGACAAAGAAGUUGGUAUCACCUUUGCCACAGACCAAAUGCAAGUGGGCUUUUUUGUGGGUACCAGGGGGUGAAGCUUGCGAGGCACAUCAAAAGGCAACAUUCCAAGGAAUCUGAAGUGGCCUGCCAGCUUGCAGGAACGAG